This is a long non-coding RNA of Zea mays, 248 nucleotides long. RefSeq lists it as uncharacterized. The transcript is spliced from 3 exons. NCBI's taxonomy places the organism in Eukaryota, Viridiplantae, Streptophyta, Magnoliopsida, Poales, Poaceae. The record is from RefSeq and is a predicted model, not a curated record.
GGAGUCAGCAAUGUGUUCAUAAAAAAUUUCACUUCUUUGAUUCAGUCAAAGCAUAUCUUUCGUAUGCUCUUCUGCGAGCAUCUGUCUCUUCAUCUCCAGUUGUUUUUCAGUAUGCUUGUGGUAUGUUUUCAGUUCUGUUGCUCCGGUUUGGAGAGAGUCUGAAGGGGGAAAUUGGUGUCUUCUUUCCUUUGAUAGUUUUAAGGUCUCUGGAUAGCUCUGAUAGCCCCCUCAGCCAGAAGGAAAGGUCG